RNAcentral lists this ribosomal RNA (253 nucleotides) under uncultured bacterium. RNAcentral describes it as "partial 16S ribosomal RNA". It matches the Rfam family "Bacterial small subunit ribosomal RNA", at positions 524 to 776 of the family's 1533-position model. The record is from RNAcentral.
UACGUAGGGUGCAAGCGUUAAUCGGAAUUACUGGGCGUAAAGCGUGCGCAGGCGGUUUUGUAAGUCUGUCGUGAAAUCCCCGGGCUCAACCUGGGAAUUGCGAUGGAGACUGCAAGGCUAGAAUCUGGCAGAGGGGGGUAGAAUUCCACGUGUAGCAGUGAAAUGCGUAGAGAUGUGGAGGAACACCCAGGGGGAAACCAGCCGACUGGGCAUCUACUGACGCUGAGGUGCGAGAGCGUGGGGAGCGAACCGG